AGAGUUUGAUCAUGGCUCAGAUUGAACGCUGGCGGCAUGCCUUACACAUGCAAGUCGAACGGCAGCACGGGUGCUUGCACCUGGUGGCGAGUGGCGAACGGGUGAGUAAUACAUCGGAACGUACCUUAUCGUGGGGGAUAACGCAGCGAAAGCUGUGCUAAUACCGCAUACGCCCUGAGGGGGAAAGCGGGGGAUCGAAAGACCUCGCGCGAUUAGAGCGGCCGAUGCCUGAUUAGCUUGUUGGUGGGGUAAAAGCCCACCAAGGCGACGAUCAGUAGCUGGUCUGAGAGGACGAUCAGCCACACUGGGACUGAGACACGGCCCAGACUCCUACGGGAGGCAGCAGUGGGGAAUUUUGGACAAUGGGGGCAACCCUGAUCCAGCAAUGCCGCGUGAGUGAAGAAGGCCUUCGGGUUGUAAAGCUCUUUUGUCAGGGAAGAAACACCGGCUCUAACACAGUCCGGGAAUGACGGUACCUGAAGAAUAAGCACCGGCUAACUACGUGCCAGCAGCCGCGGUAAUACGUAGGGUGCGAGCGUUAAUCGGAAUUACUGGGCGUAAAGCGUGCGCAGGCGGUUAUACAAGACAGGCGUGAAAUCCCCGGGCUUAACCUGGGAAUGGCGCCUGUGACUGUAUAGCUAGAGUGUGUCAGAGGGGGGUAGAAUUCCACGUGUAGCAGUGAAAUGCGUAGAUAUGUGGAGGAAUACCAAUGGCGAAGGCAGCCCCCUGGGAUAACACUGACGCUCAUGCACGAAAGCGUGGGGAGCAAACAGGAUUAGAUACCCUGGUAGUCCACGCCCUAAACGAUGCUGACUAGUUGUUCGGGAUUUACAUCCUGAGUAACGUAGCUAACGCGUGAAGUCAGCCGCCUGGGGAGUACGGUCGCAAGAUUAAAACUCAAAGGAAUUGACGGGGACC
Molecule: ribosomal RNA, 918 nt
Filed under: uncultured bacterium
Lineage: Bacteria
Description: bacterial SSU rRNA
Rfam family: Bacterial small subunit ribosomal RNA
Source: RNAcentral